RNAcentral lists this ribosomal RNA (858 nucleotides) under Escherichia coli. RNAcentral's name for it is "partial 23S ribosomal RNA". It matches the Rfam family "Bacterial large subunit ribosomal RNA", at positions 1 to 892 of the family's 2925-position model. The record is from RNAcentral. Lineage: Bacteria; Pseudomonadati; Pseudomonadota; Gammaproteobacteria; Enterobacterales; Enterobacteriaceae.
GGGUUGUGAGGUUAAGCGACUAAGCGUACACGGUGGAUGCCCUGGCAGUCAGAGGCGAUGAAGGACGUGCUAAUCUGCGAUAAGCGUCGGUAAGGUGAUAUGAACCGUUAUAACCGGCGAUUUCCGAAUGGGGAAACCCAGUGUGAUUCGUCACACUAUCAUUAACUGAAUCCAUAGGUUAAUGAGGCGAACCGGGGGAACUGAAACAUCUAAGUACCCCGAGGAAAAGAAAUCAACCGAGAUUCCCCCAGUAGCGGCGAGCGAACGGGGAGGAGCCCAGAGCCUGAAUCAGUGUGUGUGUUAGUGGAAGCGUCUGGAAAGGCGCGCGAUACAGGGUGACAGCCCCGUACACAAAAAUGCACAUACUGUGAGCUCGAUGAGUAGGGCGGGACACGUGGUAUCCUGUCUGAAUAUGGGGGGACCAUCCUCCAAGGCUAAAUACUCCUGACUGACCGAUAGUGAACCAGUACCGUGAGGGAAAGGCGAAAAGAACCCCGGCGAGGGGAGUGAAAAAGAACCUGAAACCGUGUACGUACAAGCAGUGGGAGCACGCUUCGGCGUGUGACUGCGUACCUUUUGUAUAAUGGGUCAGCGACUUAUAUUCUGUAGCAAGGUUAACCGAAUAGGGGAGCCGAAGGGAAACCGAGUCUUAACUGGGCGUUAAGUUGCAGGGUAUAGACCCGAAACCCGGUGAUCUAGCCAUGGGCAGGUUGAAGGUUGGGUAACACUAACUGGAGGACCGAACCGACUAAUGUUGAAAAAUUAGCGGAUGACUUGUGGCUGGGGGUGAAAGGCCAAUCAAACCGGGAGAUAGCUGGUUCUCCCCGAAAGCUAUUUAGGUAGCGCCUCGUGAACUCA